UCCAGUCCAGAACUGUCAGUAUGUUUCACCAGCGUUUUGCUUCUCCAGUCCAGAACUGUCAGUAUGUUUCACCAGCGUUAUGCUUCUCCAGUCCAGAACUGUCAGUAUGUUUGACAUGUAAAGUGCACUUGCACAUCCGCCCUGAUGGAUUUAAAGGGAGUGGAUUGGUAUAAGAGUAAUGCUGGAGAUGUCUUUACAGACAAUGCUUUUAAACUUGUGUUGAAGUGUGCACUUCAGGGAGAAGGGUAGAGAAUUGGGACUCCUCCUGUAUCUUCUGACUUGACUUGUUGUUUAUCAGGGCGUCUGACCUCCAGAACUCUGUGGCCACCCGGUGUCUGCAGCUCCACGGAGGCUGGGGCUACAUGUGGGAGAUCCCCAUCGCCAAGGCGUUUGUGGAUUCCCGURUCCAGCCCAUCUAUGGAGGCACCAAUGAGAUCAUGAAGGAGCUGAUCGCCCGCAGUAUCGUCAGCCAGAAGUGAGGGAGACGUCCCAGUGACAUCACCAUGGAGGAGAGCUGGGAAGUGGUUAACAUAAGUCUCUUAACACCAACAGCAGUUUGACUGGGUUAGCUACUGAGCUGGUUGUCCGUGCCUUUUGAAGUGAUUGUCAUGUUCACUGAAGGUAGGCCAGUGGUAUUUCUGGGGUGAAUCUGAUCUUCCAUUUAAGUCAAAUGUUCACUUAGUCUCCCAUAGACGUCAGUGCAUGACUGAGA
Molecule: long non-coding RNA, 712 nt
Organism: Salvelinus sp. IW2-2015
Lineage: Eukaryota; Metazoa; Chordata; Actinopteri; Salmoniformes; Salmonidae
Exons: 2
Source: RefSeq, a predicted model, not a curated record